AGAACGAACGCUGGCGGCAGGCUUAACACAUGCAAGUCGAGCGCCCCGCAAGGGGAGCGGCAGACGGGUGAGUAACGCGUGGGAACAUACCCUCCGGUUCGGAAUAGCUCAGGGAAACUUGGAUUAAUACCGGAUACGGCCUAGCGGCGAAAGAUUCAUCGCCGGAGGAUUGGCCCGCGUUCGAUUAGCUAGUUGGUGAGGUAACGGCUCACCAAGGCGACGAUCGAUAGCUGGUCUGAGAGGAUGAUCAGCCACAUUGGGACUGAGACACGGCCCAAACUCCUACGGGAGGCAGCAGUGGGGAAUAUUGGACAAUGGGCGCAAGCCUGAUCCAGCCAUGCCGCGUGAGUGAUGACGGCCUUAGGGUUGUAAAGCUCUUUCGCUAGGGACGAUAAUGACGGUACCUAGACAAGAGCCCGGCUAACUUCGUGCCAGCAGCCGC
Molecule: ribosomal RNA, 442 nt
Filed under: uncultured bacterium
Lineage: Bacteria
Description: SSU rRNA
Rfam family: Bacterial small subunit ribosomal RNA
Source: RNAcentral